GUUUGAUCCUGGCUCAGGACGAACGCUGGCGGCGUGCCUAACACAUGCAAGUCAACUUGACUGAAGGAGCAAUCUGACAGUAGAGUGGCGCAAGGGUGCGUAACGCGUAAGUAACUUGCCCCAAGGUAAGGAAUAACGUCGAGAAAUCGGCGCUAAUACCUCAUAAUGCAGCGGAUCCGCAUGGAUAUGUUGUUAAAGGUUUACCGCCUUGGGAUAGGCUUGCGUCUGAUUAGCUAGUUGGUGUGGUAACGGCACACCAAGGCUACGAUCAGUAACUGGUCUGAGAGGAUGAUCAGUCACACUAGAACUGAGAUAAGGUCUUGACUCUUUAUGAGGCAGCAGUGGGGAAUAUUGGACAAUGGGGGAAACCCUGAUCCAGCAAUAUCGCAAGGAUGAAGACCGCUGUAAACUUAGGUACGUAAAUUACUUUUAUUGUAGGAGGAUAAUGACAGUACUCAAUG
RNAcentral lists this ribosomal RNA (461 nucleotides) under uncultured bacterium. Its description in RNAcentral is "bacterial SSU rRNA". It matches the Rfam family "Bacterial small subunit ribosomal RNA", at positions 11 to 484 of the family's 1533-position model. The record is from RNAcentral.